Molecule: ribosomal RNA, 292 nt
Filed under: uncultured Alphaproteobacteria bacterium
Lineage: Bacteria; Pseudomonadati; Pseudomonadota; Alphaproteobacteria
Description: partial 16S ribosomal RNA
Source: RNAcentral
GGACUACAGGGGUUUCUAAUCCUGUUUGCUCCCCACGCUUUCGCACCUCAGCGUCAGUAUCGGGCCAGUGAGCCGCCUUCGCCACUGGUGUUCUUGCGAAUAUCUACGAAUUUCACCUCUACACACGCAGUUCCACUCACCUCUCCCGAACUCGAGAUCGCCAGUAUCGAAGGCAGUUCUGGAGUUGAGCUCCAGGAUUUCACCCCCGACUUAACAAUCCGCCUACGUGCGCUUUACGCCCAGUAAUUCCGAGCAACGCUAGCCCCCUUCGUAUUACCGCGGCUGCUGGCAC